UUUAGGUUCCUAUAAGAUAGAGUAAUCUAUAAAUAACUAAGUAUCUAAUUACUUU
RNAcentral lists this transfer RNA (55 nucleotides) under Austinixa behreae. RNAcentral describes it as "tRNA-Leu". The record is from RNAcentral. Lineage: Eukaryota; Metazoa; Arthropoda; Malacostraca; Decapoda; Pinnotheridae.